Molecule: ribosomal RNA, 435 nt
Filed under: uncultured bacterium
Lineage: Bacteria
Description: partial 16S ribosomal RNA
Rfam family: Bacterial small subunit ribosomal RNA
Source: RNAcentral
AGCGAACGCUGGCGGCAGGCUUAACACAUGCAAGUCGAACGGACUUCUUCGGAACUCAGUGGCAGGCGGGUGUAUAACGCGGGGACACGUCCUCUUCUGUUCAGUAUAACUCAGGGACAAGUGCGCUUAUCCCGUAUACGCCCAUGGGGGGAAAGGUUUACUGCCGAAGGAUCGGCCCGCGUCUGAUUAGCUUGUUGGUGGGGUAACGGCCUACCAAGGCGACGAUCAGUAGCUGGUCUGAGAGGAUGAUCAGCCACACUGGGACUGAGACACGGCCCAGACUCCUACGGGAGGCAGCAGUGGGGAAUAUUGGACAAUGGGCGCAAGCCUGAUCCAGCCAUGCCGCGUGAGUGAUGAAGGCCUUAGGGUUGUAAAGCUCUUUUGUCCGGGACGAUAAUGACGGUACCGGAAGAAUAAGCCCCGGCUAACUUCGUG